UCGAAACCGGAUAGAGGUCGAUGAUAUUAGUCAGCGCACAGUGUGUCAUUUCACCAAAAAAGUUCAAACUUCAAGUCAGAUUAAAGAUGAAAUAUAUCUCAAUAAACGAUACUUGGAGGUCGCGGCAAUGGAAGUUCGACUGUGUGUUGGAUAUCAAUACUCUCUUUCGGGAACUUAAGGGAAUUGAAAAAAUGGCUGACGUGAGUGAGAGAUUUAGAAGCAUGGUGGGGAGCGAAAAAAACAUCGAUGACUUAUCGAUGCAUCGAUGUUUUCAUCGAUGUUUUGGCACCUCUAGAGUCUGGCUUAAUGAAAAAUUCGCGGGCGGCCUCACUAGAUCGGUAGUUCAAGUUGAAAUUGGUCUAUUCUUGGAAGUUGGUAAAUCAGUGCAUGGCAAAAUUAAAUUUAUAAACAUUGAGGAAAAUUAAAUCUAGCAACAUAAGACUAUAAAAUGUGACUAAUAUUGAGAUCAGCAAAGAAAAAAAUUGUGAUUAACCACCCCCACCUCCCGCCCAACCGUCCGAGGGGCGCGGUUGUGUGAAUUGCAUGAAUUGCUUCCUUGCAAUUGCCAAAUUAUUAACCAUUUUAUAAACUACAAAGCAGUACAAUUGUUGCUAUUGGGUAUAACAUAGAACGAUAAUUAGCACGAUAGCAAUAAGUGUUUUUGUUUAUUGCGGAGGCUUACAUGUUAUCGAAGUAAAAAGUUGUAAUCGAAACUUAAAAUCGUAAAGGCUUUAUCUACAUCGAACUCUCUGACUACAAAUUUCAAACUACAGUGAUUUACCACGAAGGAACCUUUCUACAUGUUUAUCGGGGUAUAUGGAUAUAGAGCUGAACUUGCAGAUACGGGCUCUGCACUUAACUGUAAAUAAGGCUACGUAAAAUGAAGCUUUCCUGUAGUAGGCUAGACUGUUAAACCUAUGUAUGUAUAUUAAGACUAUGUUAUACCCAUGUUAAGCCGAUGUAAAGAUCAUGUUGAACGAGAGAACAUUCUAGAUUAGCGAGUAUUGAGCGUCGUUUCUGAUCUUCCACACUAGGAAAGGUAAAUUACUUAGGAAAUUAGGAGUCUACUAGAGUAAUCUAAGGGUCAGUGUCCACAGCUAGGCUCCGGAGGGCAAACAGCAAAAAGUUCUUUUGGACAGAUUCAAUGGGAUUACUAUAAACAUCAAUUUCAGAAUUCUAGACACAAGAACUCCAGAAUAGGAUACUUCAAUAUAGGGCGAACUAACGAAGCAAAAAGGGUCUUUGUUACAUAAGAAGAAGUAAGAAAAGUUUAACUUCAUCAGCAUACAUGAGUAUACUGGCUUAACACGCUGAAGAUCCAGACUAGGAGAGCUUUCGUUUAAGGUGGGGCUGAAGAUUAAGUUUGAACUGUUCAUAGCGAAGGAAUAAAUCUGAUUUGAAGUUGUUGAAAAUAUCGGCGAUGGCCUUAUCAGAGUUUGCUGUAGUAUUAUUGAUUUAAAUGGAGAAGGGAUAUAAAUUGGGUUUAUAGAACUGUUUUGGGUCCUGCGCAAACUGAACCUUACAACAAAUCAAAUAAUUUGUAUAGCACUUAGCGUUAAACACGGUAAAGUUCGCCCGAGCUUUAAAAUAACUAGAGGUAACAUUUUAUAUCUAUUAUAAAGCCUAAAGAUUUUACACCUUUUAGGCGUGUCAGCUCUUUAUUAAGAUGGUUUAUUAGAAACCAACGGAUGGGUUACCGGAACACAUAAAGAAAAGAAGGAGUUCAUGGCAUUGUAAAAAAUGGCCGGCGCGGUUGCCGUAACAGAGCAUAUGUAAAUUAAAUUAGGAUAUUAAGGUAUUUAGCCUUUAAAUGACAGCUUUUCAAAAACAGCGGACUUUGUAAGCUAUUCAAUCAGAUUACCUUUCUAAAACAGUACCCGUAUUGAUAGUCACUUCGAAAGUUAAAUGGUAAGGAUCUUCAAGUUGCGUCAAUGGAGGAACUCUAAGGCCUACAGGAUCAGAAACGAAACAUAGAUCUAGCAAGCGGUUAAAAGAAUUAUAGACAUGGUUAACAUGAGAUAUGUACAUAUAUCAAGCAUGCGAUCAAUCAAUUAUGCUGUGCCGCAGUCUGGAGGACAUAUUUCACACUAUCAGAAGACCAAUCAAGAUCCUACUUAACAUUUUCGGCCAGGGUCUUGCCUUGUAUAUAUGUAGGUCAGGCCAUCUCAUAAUCCGCCUUCGGUCUGGCGCAAUAAACUUAAGCAAUUUUGUGCCACUUUCUGAUCGUUUCUUCAUCAUCGUGCACAUUGUAAGCUGCUUAAAACUUAAAAAAAUGCAUUACCAAUAUUUUUUAACGCAAUUUGCUAAGUAUUUUCUAACUUAACUUCCGGUGCCUCCCAAGAAACCAAAUGGAACGAAGAAAUAACGACUUUUUUAUUU
Long non-coding RNA from Drosophila serrata, 2379 nucleotides. RefSeq lists it as uncharacterized. NCBI's taxonomy places the organism in Eukaryota, Metazoa, Arthropoda, Insecta, Diptera, Drosophilidae. The record is from RefSeq and is a predicted model, not a curated record.